UCCAGACUAAACACGCCUAGUUCUCUUGACCUGUCCUUCAAGAUUUCUAAAGACCCAAGGUUUCCAUAUAGGACACAGCAGAUGGAAGCCCUGCGGUUGCAGCACGAGCUAAGAGAAUGGGCCAAAUUCAGUUCAUGGUGUUCAAACUGGAUCUGAAUUCAGAACUGGAUGUACCCAUUUGGAUUCAGACCACAGAGUUGUGCCUUGAGGAGGCAAGAGACUUCUUGUAGUUUCGACUUUACAACACUUGAUCCAAUGCAACGUCAUGCCAGAGAACAAAUUCACUGUAUCACCCACGUCGCUGGAGAACAUCUAUCCAAACUUGCUUGGAUACUUUCUUUAGGAAAGCAGAGGAGACUCCAGAAAAACCUGCAGCCAAGACUCCUGAGAAGACUCCAGCCAAGAACCCUUCAAAAAGUCCACCAAAGUCACCUCAAAGAAGUCCUUCCAAAUCAAUAUGAUUUCUAUUUACGAUAUAAAUACGUUAAUGUAGCUAUAUUACUCAUCUAUAAUUAAUCAAGUAUAAAAUUCUGGGGUAUUUUUGGUGAAAAUAGGGUAUCGGGCCUUGGUUCAGGAACCAAUCCCUCAUUUAUAAAAUUGUUUCUUAUGAGAAAAUUGGUUCUGAGUUACAACGUUUCAACUUAAGACGCGGUUUUCAGGAACCAAUUGCGUCUUAAGUCCGAGGACUGCCUGUACAGUUAAACGAGAGAGCACAUUGGAUGGUGACUCUGUUUGAGAGAUGAAAGGAGAAACUUCUGAAGACUGUGCCAUGCUUAUAGUGUACAGCAGUAAAAAAGCAGCUGAUGCCAACUAAUUAAAAGAGACAUGUGAGUCGGUGGAGAGACGGGACAAAGUACUAUGGCAAACGCUCCAAACUGCAAACACAAAGUAACAUGGAUCAGAGCAACCCAAGCCAUUCCAGCUGCUGCUGCAAAGAACACUGUUAACCUGCAGACUCGUUAAUUAUGUCACCCUAAUUAGGCUGUGGCAACAUUGAAAAGUUUCUCCCACAGGCAUACUUUGCACGGCAAAUCUAAAAGAGACUCUGUACUCAACGCUGUCAGCAGUACUUUACAAUUAGGCACGUUCCUCCUUUUUCCUCUCAUUUUAGACUCAGUUGCUAACUAUGCCACAAAAACCAGCUGUGCUACCAUCAAGUGUUGACACUACAGAUGAGCACGAGCGAUAGUAAGAAAAACUUUAAUCUUAUGUUAUUCCAAGCUUCCUGUUACAUGGGCUUGUUUGUGCGCCCUUUGUCUCCAAGAUUAGAUCAUGGUUAGUUCAUGCAAAAGAUGAGCUUCAUAUUUUUAAAACUGAUUACGAUUUACAGUUUGUACAAGCCCAGGAUGAAAUAACAGAGGGGGAAAGAAAUGUGGCGCCAUGUAAGAGUACCGGAUAUUACAUUUUCACUCAAGAUAACAUUUUCAGAAGUUCCUUAGUAUUUAGGAGUUUAAAGCUGUUGACUUUCAAGGAGGGCUUGGUUACAGAGGCCAGAUCUACGCUGCUAUAGUUGUGCUGGCAGAACUACGUUGGCUGCGAGCGUGAUGAUCCCGCCCUCCAGCCAACAGGCUGGCAAAGCCCUGAUGUGAAUGCAGCUGUGACCACAAAAGACGGCUUUUGUCGACUCGGCUAACAUCAUUCAGGAGGUGGUGAAGGUGCGACAGCAAAAAACUACCUUCCGCCACUAUGCACGGUGUCUCCAUGACAAGUCUCCACGCACAUUGCUGCGCCAGGGCAGCGGUACCCUGAGAGGAUCUGCAGGACAAGCAGGUUGCCAUCAGAUUUGGGCAGGAGAUCACCAUCCAUCACCACCACGCAGCUUCCUUUCAUUGGCCCACAUCCAUCUCCUCCUCUUGGCAUCUGAAGAUUCGCUCAGAUCCUAGUUGAGAAACCAACCACAUGCCCAACGACACAUGGGGAGCAAGGUGGCCAGUACUAUACCUGGCUGCCUUUGACUCAAGUGCUCUUCUGCUGCUGGGUCAGCUGGAGCUGCCUGUCUGCAUUUGCCCGGAGCCAGUAGCUCCAAACUCAUGCCUUUGGAGCUACAGCAAAGACACCUCAACCAUUCUGCUACGGCACCUCAAUAUGUCGACUACCAACAUCUAAAUGCCAUUGGUUAUGUAUGGGCUGAUGCAACACCAGGAUUAGGUCAGAACAUCCCAACCUGAUCUACACGUUUUCUUCUCAUGAGUGAUCACAAGGAAAUUAGCAACCCCACACAACUACAGGAAGGGAGCAAGGGAGCACAUUUGAGAUAACUGCCAACCUCCUUUCAGCGUGGAGAGUUUUAGUGGCCACCAGCUUUCAUAUUUCUAUCGAUAAAAUCUCAUCAACCUAUUGCCAACAUUUCAUUCCUUGCGUGCACAACACUGAGGCUGAGCAGACAAGACACGCGAUUCCAUGACAGGCUCUAGUGAAAAGGGCAAGUCCUUCUUCCUUUACUGGUGCUCAGUUGGUAGCACAGAAUUUCUCUCUGCAAGGGAACGCUUAAGGUCCCAGGAAUAAAGCCUGUACUCUGUUGGAUUUCAUUCUGGGGAAUGAAGGUGUAUGUAGAUCAGAUUCACAUUUUAAAGAAAGGAUUGGGCUAUUUUAAAGUUAAAACUGAAUUAAAAACAACAACAGUUUGUCAACUUGUGGUGAAUAGUCAUGCCCAGAAGCUUCCCAAAUAGUUUUGAGUUGAGCGAGACAUUUCGCAAAUGCACACACGAAUGAAGCAGAGCUGUUGCAGUUUAAAACCCGGCUGUCCCUUCUCACCCAGCAACAACUCAGGUGAGAUUUCAUGAACAAUUUACUUGUGUGCAUAAACAUAUAUAUAUAUAUAUAUAUAUAUAUAAAUUACAGCAGUUACACACUUCACUAUGAUGGAGCACCGAUAAGCAUCCUAUAAAUGACAGGACUCACCGGAUGGGCUGGAAAGGAUCGGUAUGUUAUCAAGCAGAGUGUCCAGAGCUGGGAAACCUGUGGGCAGCACAGGAAUUUUCCCACGAGCCAAAAUGAAGUACCUGAGCCCAGGGGAAGGAGCAGAUUUUAGAUACAUCCUGCUCUUGGUGUUUCGUGUUGGCUGCUUUAGCCAAGUGACAGUGCUGGAGGCCCCUCAACUCUCCCCAGGCACCCUACAGGGAGUUCAGGCACCUACUUCACACACAAGGUUUCUGCUGCUGUACUCUACAUCCCUUUAAGGAUCUAACCUUUACAGUCUAACAAGGCAGAGUUGGGAAGAGGGGAGGCCCAGAGAAGAAAAAUGGCCCACCCAAGGUCACGCAGCAGGUCAGUGAGGUCCUCAAGUCCCACUUACACAGGCCAGCUACUCCCGAAGGGGCUCCUAAUAGGUGAGGAAAAAAAAUACUGGAUCCUGGUAAAACACACAUUCACUUUAAUGGGGGUAGCACUGGGCAACACGGCAAUGGUGCCUAAGAUGCAUCCAGACUGGUCUAUAUUGGUCAUCUGAACCAUAAGGGGCUCAGUCCUGCUCCUAAGAAAGUCAGCAAGAAUUUCAGAUCAGCAGGAGAACCCUAAAGCAUCACACGCUGCUGCAAAGACCCAACAUGCAGACCCACUCCUGGCUUGGGCCAAACACCCUUUUGCCAGCCAGUUGUCCAUGUUACUUAAAAAGCAGAGGAAACACCUUUAAACUGACCAAGUCAUGUGCUCUGGUAAAAUACGAUCCACAACACAGAAAACCGUGCUGAGGAGCAAGGCCGCAGCAGCAAACGCUAUUUGCAUAGCCCCCUUGGCUCCAGCAAAAGGCUCUGCCUGGGAACACCACCUCACACCCCCAAGAUUAUGGAUGCCUCGCUGCAGCAGAGCAGACAGGCCCAUUAUCGCUAGUCAUGCUAGACAUGAUCAGGGUCCCCGCUUGUACUUUUUUCUAGGUCAAAGACAAGACUGAAGCAGCAGGGGACUGUUUGGGGCAAAGGGGUUAAAACCGCAAUUCUCAAAUUAUCAUGAGAUAAGAGCAGCACAGGAACCAGUAGCCUGUUUUCAGCAUAGAGUCACAACUGGUCGAGUUGUCGUUGCCUGAAAUGUAAACACCUUAGGACGAAGCUGGUCCACACGACUUGUUCUGAAACUUGGAGUCUGGGGGGAAUUUCACCCAAGGAAAAAAGGAUGGCUUUGUGAUGAAAGCAAUAUGGCACGGACAGUGGCAAAGCUUCAGAUUAGGAGACUCAGAUCCUAUUUCUGAUCAGGACUGGUUGAAAGGGUUUGGUUUUGUCCCCAUUAAAGUUUCUAGUCAGUGGCUCGUGUUACGUACACACUUCACUUGACACCAUCAAUGAAGUAGUUAAACUACAGCCUACUGAUGCAAAAGAGCUGUUCUGUGUUCCAGCUAGGGCAAUCAUUUUUUGCUCAUUAAGCACUACCAAGCUUGCAAUUUAAAGAAACAUGUACAUGUAAUUAAGGUAAUGUAAAGUGAUAAAAACAAAUGGGUUAGGUAAAUUGUAAGGAGCCAUCAGCGUGGGGAGGUUGAGUUAUUAAUCGAUAGCCCAGCCUGGCGUACUAUAGCAUUCCUCAAGAGGCAAAAAGGGCAAAGGGAAUAUUGGUCCUAUUGAUUCUUCCUUGACCAAUUUAUUAGGGAGGCGAUCACUGAGUUGGAAAGGAAGUUACCAGGCAUCCUAUUCAUAAAGCUUAUCCUCAGCAUUAUCCAGUCACAUAACUGUAACUGGCUUUAGCUCAGCAUCCUCAUUGUAUAAAAGCCAUGGUAGAUGAUGCUGUCAAAAUAGCGAUAGCUCCUGAAAGCUGAAUUUGCGAGAUUCCAGAAGUGUGUUUGAAUCAUUCAUGAGUAUGAAAACAAAACCCAGCUGGCCAUUGUUAAAAAGGUACCAGCAACAUAUACCAGGGAACAAUCCGGCAGUCUGUGACCACGCUAAUGCAAGCAUUUGUCCCAUCCACUCACUCCUGUUCCAUGUAGAUGAGACGCUGAAAAGCAGCAACUACAUUACAGUCUGUAACCCCACCAGAGCUGCUCUCGGUCUCAGGCAACUCAAUGGUGCGUACCCAGCAUUGCUCUAAUGGGAUCUACAUUGCACUGGUCCUGAAUUUACCUCGCAUGGAGGGGGAUAGAGGGGCGUAGGUGCAUGUUUGCAGCAGCAGUCUCUAGCAGUGGUAGAAAUCAUAGACAUGGCCUGGUUGUGAGACCGCUGGGGGUUUGUCAGGUGAAACAAAAUGUUCCCUCCAAGAGAGCAACUAGUUCAAGCAAAAGGGAGCAAAUCAGGAAACCAAGUACGGGCCCAGUGCUGGGAGGUGUCAAAUACCCAUGCUCCCAUCCAAGGCAACAGGAGGUGAGAGCAUUUGGCACCUUGUAGUAAGUCAGUAAUUUGCAGCCUGAAGUUUUGAGCUGCAGAUCUUCCUCCCUGUUUUCCACUGUACCUCAGUCAACCAACACCAGAUCAUGGCUCCGUGCUCAGGGAAAUAAAGCUUGGGGCCAAUGAACAGCAAACACUGACCCCAGAGAACUCUUCUGUGCAAUACAGCAGGUGGGAGUCUGAAUGCCCAACCUCCUUGCUCUGUUUCCAAAGGACUCCCCUGCCAGCUCACACCUGCAUGCAAUGCUAUCUCCCUGCCAAAGCAGGCCUGAGGCCAGCAGAGCUGUCUUUCCCAUCUGCUUGUGUGUGCGAGGUGAAUUGAAUGUACCAGCAAAUACUCCGAAGUACCUAAUAUUUUACUCAAAUAUGAAUGAAGACAUAUAUGGACUUGAAGCAGAGUAAGAAAUUAUGGGCAAGACCUUACCCCACCUAUUGUGAAUUAGUCCUCUAAGCAGCUCUGAGGCAUUUUAGAUCCUACUUUACCCUGCCUGAGAGCCUAAAAAAUCAUUAACACGUCUACGUUUGGAACACACCUUCAUCUUAGUCCUAACACUAAGUCACAAAAAGCAGCGAUGACAAAGAGGGGGACCCACAUGCAUUUUGGGUUAAUGUACUUUCAAGGACACUGGAGUAGGAUCACAUUUAUGGGAUGUCUGGACCACUUCUAAAGAAAACCACUAAGAAGCACAUCCACCUGCCUAAUGCCACCAAGUCCAGGGGAAGUGGAGCUGUCCUGCAGGCAACCCUCGUUAAUGGGUUUCUGGCUCCAGCAUACUUGAGAGAAGCUGCCCUGAGAUUUCCAGACCAGAGCUGCUCUGCCUCCUCUCCAGGACUGGCACAUGUUGGGCAGGAGCAGGUCAGUGGGGUAUCCUUCUCAACAGCACUCCCAGGACGCCCUGGGGACACUUAAACGGCCUUAGACACUUACCUACUGCUCCCAUGCCUAACAGGAGGAAGAGGAUGCACCUAAUGCAUUGGUGAAGGUUUGGCAUCAUGCACAAGGCUCCCAAGCAGAGCCAGGGGGAAAAACAUUUUACCAUCCAGCAAAUAUUUAUAAGAUAUUUAAAUCUUUUCCCUAUCUUGAAUUGAUAAUCUCAAUCAUAUCUUUGAACCAAAAAUCUGGAGGGGAAAAAUGUUACACUGGGCAAGCUGAAACAUUUGCUUCCAUUUGGAUGGUUUGGGGUUGAUUUUAUUCCCAUGAGAGUGGACAUUUUUAAACAAAACAUUCUUUUGAACCAGAAUGUUUCUGGCCAUCUACACGCUAUUUUUGCAACUGUUUAGGAGUCAAAAAAUUGCAGAAUGCCAACCCUGUCCCAGAGAGAUUUUCAGUUUGAGUGUUUUCUGGCAAGAAAAUGUUUUCUUCGAAGCUUCUGACUAGCUCCGUGCUCAAAUCACAAAAGCUUAUGAAACCUUCCCUGCGGACUGCAUUACAGCAUUUAAAACUGGGCUUGGGACUAAUGUGACAAUGGUGUUGAGUGGCGGUUCAUGUAGACGGGAUAAUAUCGUGUGAAGGGGAGAACAACCCAGGAACCGAGAAAGGAAGGUGAUCACUGAUAGGCAGCGGCUGAAAUGCCUAGGAUGGCUACAAGAGGAGCUGUAUGGAAAAUGUCUAACCCAAGCCAUGGAGCCUGCUGCAGAAAUAUAGGAUCUGUUCUUUCCCUCACUCCACCCUCCCUGCUUUAACCAUUGGUACUGAGUUAAUACUACAGGAGCUCAGCAGCUUAAAGAACCACUUUGAAUGCCUUCAAGACACAUUUGGAUGCUUUAUCUUGCUGGGAUCCUAUGACCCCAGCUGACUUUCUGCCCCUGGAGCAGGAGGCUGGAUUCGAUGAUCCUCCGGGGUCCCUUCCAGCCCUAACGUCUAUGAAAUAAACUCAGCUCUCAAGUCAAAUGUCUCCAGCCAGCUCCCGGGGCAGGGGAGAGGGAUGGAGAGGGCAGAAGGGUAGGAAAGAGGAGCAAGGAAUUGUGGGAUUGGCAGGCAUCCCUAUUCUCUGCCCUUCAUCAUAGGUUGACCCAUCCAAUCUGAGGGGGAGGGCAGUGGGUUAGGGGUUCGACCCACUCUCAGGUUAGAGCAGCGAUUCUGAACCUUUUUCAGUCGACGUACCCCUUGGUCUCAGAGUGAGACUUCACGUACCCCCUUUCAAUGGGAAAUUAAUUUUGAUGUCGAGCUACAUGUAAUCGUGUA
Long non-coding RNA from Alligator mississippiensis (American alligator), 7488 nucleotides. RefSeq lists it as uncharacterized. The record is from RefSeq and is a predicted model, not a curated record. The transcript is spliced from 4 exons. Lineage: Eukaryota; Metazoa; Chordata; Crocodylia; Alligatoridae.